RNAcentral lists this small RNA (1047 nucleotides) under uncultured Pelagibacterales bacterium. Its description in RNAcentral is "bacterial SSU rRNA". The stretch from base 1 to 658 matches the Rfam family "Bacterial small subunit ribosomal RNA", at positions 867 to 1533 of the family's 1533-position model. Lineage: Bacteria; Pseudomonadati; Pseudomonadota; Alphaproteobacteria; Candidatus Pelagibacterales. The record is from RNAcentral.
CACCGCCUGGGGAGUACGACCGCAAGGUUAAAACUCAAAUGAAUUGACGGGGACCCGCACAAGUAGUGGAGCAUGUGGUUUAAUUCGAAGAUACGCGCAGAACCUUACCAACACUUGACAUGUUCGUCGCGACUUUAAGAGAUUAAAGUUUUCGGUUCGGCCGGACGAAACACAGGUGCUGCAUGGCUGUCGUCAGCUCGUGUCGUGAGAUGUUGGGUUAAGUCCCGCAACGAGCGCAACCCUCACUUUUAGUUGCCAUCAUUAAGUUGGGCACUCUGAAAGAACUGCCAGUGAUAAGCUGGAGGAAGGUGGGGAUGACGUCAAGUCCUCAUGGCCCUUACGUGUUGGGCUACACACGUGCUACAAUGGUAUCUACAACAGGAAGCAAGACGGCGACGUUAAGCAAAUCCUUAAAAGAUAUCUCAGUUCGGAUUGCACUCUGCAACUCGAGUGCAUGAAGCUGGAAUUACUAGUAAUCGUGGAUCAGCGUGCCACGGUGAAUGCGUUCCCGGGUCUUGUACACACCGCCCGUCACACCAUGGGAGUUGGUUCUACCUUAAGGCAAGGUUUCAAACCCUUGACCACGGUAUAGUCAGCGACUGGGGUGAAGUCGUAACAAGGUAGCCGUAGGGGAACCUGCGGCUGGAUUACCUCCUUUCUAAGGAUGAAUAAAAGUAAAAUUUUAUUCUAAAUAAUAUACACGGUUAAUGUUGACCGUCCUCAUUUCUCUUCUUAAAGAUUGUGUUUCUCUUGCAUGGGGGCCGGUAGCUCAGUUGGUUAGAGCACACCCUUGAUAAGGGUGGGGUCGAAAGUUCGAGUCUUUCUCGGCCCACCACUUAAAGAUUAAGGGGGAUUAGCUCAGCUGGGAGAGCGCCUGAUUUGCAUUCAGGAGGUCAGCGGUUCGAUCCCGCUAUCCUCCACCAAAAAACACUUAGCUAUAUAAAUUGUAAAUAAAAUUAAUUAAUAUCAAUAUCUAUAUCCGAACAUUAGAAAUGUUAUUAGCUAAUGUUCAAAUAAAAAUUUGAUUCAACACAGAAUUUUUUUCUG